Molecule: transfer RNA, 85 nt
Filed under: Campylobacter concisus
Lineage: Bacteria; Pseudomonadati; Campylobacterota; Epsilonproteobacteria; Campylobacterales; Campylobacteraceae
Description: tRNA-Leu(gag)
Rfam family: tRNA
About the family: Transfer RNA (tRNA) molecules are approximately 80 nucleotides in length. Their secondary structure includes four short double-helical elements and three loops (D, anti-codon, and T loops).
Source: RNAcentral
GCGAUCAUGGUGGAAUUGGUAGACACGCUAUCUUGAGGGGGUAGUGCCACUAGGUGUGCGAGUUCGAGUCUCGCUGAUCGCACCA